GACGAACGCUGGCGGCGUGCCUAAUACAUGCAAGUAGAACGCUGAAGAGAGGAGCUUGCUCUUCUUGGAUGAGUUGCGAACGGGUGAGUAACGCGUAGGUAACCUGCCUUGUAGCGGGGGAUAACUAUUGGAAACGAUAGCUAAUACCGCAUAACAAUGGAUGACACAUGUCAUUUAUUUGAAAGGGGCAAUUGCUCCACUACAAGAUGGACCUGCGUUGUAUUAGCUAGUAGGUGAGGUAAUGGCUCACCUAGGCGACGAUACAUAGCCGACCUGAGAGGGUGAUCGGCCACACUGGGACUGGGACACGGCCCAGACUCCUACGGGCGGCAGCAGUAGGGAAUCUUCGGCAAUGGGGGCAACCCUGACCGAGCAACGCCGCGUGAGUGAAGAAGGUUUUCGGAUCGUAAAGCUCUGUUGUAAGUCAAGAACGGGUGUGAGAGUGGAAAGUUCACACUGUGACGGUAGCUUACCAGAAAGGGACGGCUAACUACGUG
RNAcentral lists this ribosomal RNA (497 nucleotides) under uncultured bacterium. RNAcentral's name for it is "partial 16S ribosomal RNA". It matches the Rfam family "Bacterial small subunit ribosomal RNA", at positions 28 to 507 of the family's 1533-position model. The record is from RNAcentral.